RNAcentral lists this ribosomal RNA (253 nucleotides) under uncultured bacterium. RNAcentral's name for it is "partial 16S ribosomal RNA". It matches the Rfam family "Bacterial small subunit ribosomal RNA", at positions 524 to 776 of the family's 1533-position model. The record is from RNAcentral.
UACGGAGGGAGCUAGCGUUGUUCGGAAUUACUGGGCGUAAAGCGCGCGUAGGCGGCUUUGUAAGUUAGAGGUGAAAUCCCUGGGCUCAACCUGGGAAUGGCAGUGGAUACUGGACGGCUAGAAUGCGGUAGAGGGUAGUGGAAUUCCCGGUGUAGCAGUGAAAUGCGUAGAGAUCGGGAGGAACACCAGUGGCGAAGGCGGCUACCUGGACCAGCAUCGACACUCAAGCACGAAAGCGUGGGGAGCAAACAGG